GACGAACCGUGCGAACGUUAUUCGGAAUCACUGGGCUUAAAGGGCGCGUAGGCGGGCCGACAAGUCAGGGGUGAAAUCCUCCAGCCCAACUGGAGAAGCGCCUUUGAUACUGUCGGCCUCGAGGGGUGCAGGGGCAUGCGGAACUCAGGGUGGAGCGGUGAAAUGCGUAGAUAUCCUGAGGAACACCGGUGGCGAAAGCGGCGUGCUGGACACCUUCUGACGCUGAGGCGCGAAAGCCAGGGGAGCGAACGGG
This 253-nucleotide ribosomal RNA is filed under the name uncultured bacterium. RNAcentral describes it as "partial 16S ribosomal RNA". It matches the Rfam family "Bacterial small subunit ribosomal RNA", at positions 524 to 776 of the family's 1533-position model. The record is from RNAcentral.